RNAcentral lists this ribosomal RNA (639 nucleotides) under uncultured eukaryote. RNAcentral's name for it is "SSU rRNA". It matches the Rfam family "Eukaryotic small subunit ribosomal RNA", at positions 640 to 1284 of the family's 1831-position model. The record is from RNAcentral.
UUCGGGGGCGGGCCGGGCGGUCUGCCGAUGGGUAUGCACUGUUCGGCGCGUCCUUCUUUCCGGAGACCGCGCCUACUCUUAGCUGAGCGGGCGUGGGAGACGGAUCGUUUACUUUGAAAAAAUCAGAGUGUUUCAAGCAGGCAGCUCGCUCUUGCAUGGAUUAGCAUGGGAUAAUGAAAUAGGACUCUGGUGCUAUUUUGUUGGUUUCGAACACCGGAGUAAUGAUUAACAGGGACAGUCAGGGGCACUCGUAUUCCGUCGAGAGAGGUGAAAUUCUCAGACCAAUGGAAGACGAACCACUGCGAAAGCAUUUGCCAGGGAUGUUUUCACUGAUCAAGAACGAAAGUUAGGGGAUCGAAGACGAUCAGAUACCGUCGUAGUCUUAACCAUAAACCAUGCCGACUAGGGAUUGGAGGGUGUUCUAUUUGACCCCUUCAGCACCUUACGGGAAACUAAAGUCUUUGGGUUCCGGGGGGAGUAUGGUCGCAAGGCUGAAACUUAAAGGAAUUGACGGAAGGGCACCACCAGGAGUGGAGCCUGCGGCUUAAUUUGACUCAACACGGGGAAACUUACCAGGUCCAGACAUUGUUAGGAUUGACAGAUUGAGAGCUCUUUCUUGAUUCGAUGGGUGGGGGUGCA